CGUGAGGGAUGAAGGCCUUCGGGUUGUAAACCUCUUUCAGCAGGGAAGAAGCGAAAGUGACGGUACCUGCAGAAGAAGCACCGGCUAACUACGUGC
Molecule: ribosomal RNA, 96 nt
Filed under: uncultured bacterium
Lineage: Bacteria
Description: partial 16S ribosomal RNA
Rfam family: Bacterial small subunit ribosomal RNA
Source: RNAcentral